CGGUAGCUAAAUGCGGAAGAGAUAAGUGCUGAAAGCAUCUAAGCACGAAACUUGCCCCGAGAUGAGUUCUCCCUGACCCUUUAAGGGUCCUGAAGGAACGUUGAAGACGACGACGUUGAUAGGCCGGAUGUGUAAGCGCAGCGAUGCGUUGAGCUAACCGGUACUAAUGAACCGUGAGGCUUAACCUU
This 188-nucleotide ribosomal RNA is filed under the name Escherichia coli. RNAcentral's name for it is "partial 23S ribosomal RNA". It matches the Rfam family "Bacterial large subunit ribosomal RNA", at positions 2743 to 2925 of the family's 2925-position model. The record is from RNAcentral. Lineage: Bacteria; Pseudomonadati; Pseudomonadota; Gammaproteobacteria; Enterobacterales; Enterobacteriaceae. RNAcentral also lists the same sequence under 1 other name.